This 268-nucleotide unclassified non-coding RNA is filed under the name Hevea brasiliensis (rubber tree). Lineage: Eukaryota; Viridiplantae; Streptophyta; Magnoliopsida; Malpighiales; Euphorbiaceae. The record is from RNAcentral.
GGUCUUAAUAAAGAACAUGCACAUAAAUGAAAAAUUAUCAACACCAAAGAUAGGUGCCAAUAAAUUUUUCAUGCCAAUAUAACAUAGAUUGAUAUGGCAUUACAAAUUACAUUUAAAGAAUUUCUCACUGAUUGUUGAACAGAAUUUGGAGAACCACAGUGAACUAUAAGCAUUUUUACUUUAUUUAGGCUUCCAUAAAGAAAACACCCAUUUAUACUUUCUGAAAGUCUUAAACUAACAAAAAAGUUUUAAAGAUUUAUUCAGCUUU